UAAGACGGAGGGUGCAAGCGUUGUUCGGAAUUACUGGGCGUAAAGGGCGCGUAGGCGGUCCGCUAAGACCGGUGUGAAAUCCCCUGGCUCAACUGGGGAACUGCGCCGGAAACUGGCAGACUCGAGUACCGGGGAGGAGGGUGGAAUUCCUGGUGUAGCGGUGAAAUGCGUAGAUAUCAGGAGGAACACCGGUGGCGAAGGCGGCCCUCUGGACGAGUACUGACGCUGAGGCGCGAAAGCGUGGGGAUCAAACAG
Molecule: ribosomal RNA, 255 nt
Filed under: uncultured prokaryote
Description: partial 16S ribosomal RNA
Rfam family: Bacterial small subunit ribosomal RNA
Source: RNAcentral